AGCAUAUCAAUAAGCGGAGGAAAAGAAACCAACAGGGAUUGCCCUAGUAACGGCGAGUGAAGCGGCAACAGCUCAAAUUUGAAAUCUGGCUCUUUUAGGGUCCGAGUUGUAAUUUGCAGAGGGCGCUUUGGCGUUGGCAGCGGUCCAAGUUCUUUGGAACAGGACGUCACAGAGGGUGAGAAUCCCGUACGUGGUCGCUAUCCUUCGCCGUGUAAAGCCCCUUCGACGAGUCGAGUUGUUUGGGAAUGCAGCUCUAAAUGGGAGGUAAAUUUCUUCUAAAGCUAAAUACUGGCCAGAGACCGAUAGCGCACAAGUAGAGUGAUCGAAAGAUGAAAAGCACUUUGGAAAGAGAGUCAAAUAGCACGUGAAAUUGUUGAAAGGGAAGCGCUUGCAGCCAGACUUGCCUGUAGUUGCUUAUCCGGACUUUUGUCCGGUGCACUCUUCUGCGGGCAGGCCAGCAUCAGUUUGGGCAGUUGGAUAAAGGUCUCUGUCAUGUACCUCUCUUCGGGGAGGCCUUAUAGGGGAGACGACAUGCAACUAGCCUGGACUGAGGUCCGCGCAUCUGCUAGGAUGCUGGCGUAAUGGCUGUAAGCGGCCCGUCUUGAAACACGGACCAAGGAGUCUAACAUCUAUGCGAGUGUUUGGGUGUCAAGCCCAGACGCGUAAUGAAAGUGAACGGAGGUGGGAACCCUUUGGGUGCACCAUCGACCGAUCCUGAUGUUUUCGGAAGGAUUUGAGUAAGAGCAUGGCUGUUGGGACCCGAAAGAUGGUGAACUAUGCUUGAAUAGGGUGAAGCCAGAGGAAACUCUGGUGGAGGCUCGCAGCGGUUCUGACGUGCAAAUCGAUCGUCAAAUUUGGGCAUAGGGGCGAAAGACUAAUGAACUAUCU
This 888-nucleotide ribosomal RNA is filed under the name Parastagonospora avenae f. sp. tritici. Its description in RNAcentral is "LSU rRNA". It matches the Rfam family "Eukaryotic large subunit ribosomal RNA", at positions 37 to 945 of the family's 3401-position model. Lineage: Eukaryota; Fungi; Ascomycota; Dothideomycetes; Pleosporales; Phaeosphaeriaceae. The record is from RNAcentral.